Molecule: long non-coding RNA, 355 nt
Filed under: Brassica napus (rape)
Lineage: Eukaryota; Viridiplantae; Streptophyta; Magnoliopsida; Brassicales; Brassicaceae
Description: long non-coding RNA (BNAP_LNC012249)
Source: RNAcentral
GAGCCGGGGGGAACCAAAUGUUAUUGAAGGGCGAUUCCAGGCUAGGACUGGGAGUCGGCAGGAACCAGAGACUGGAACCGGCGGAACCAAAUUCUGUUGAGGAGGGAUUCCAAGUUGGAACCUGGAACCUGCAGGGACCCAGUGUUAGUUCUUGCGUCGAAUUAUGCUACAACCGUUAGCAUGGUGUUAUACUCCCUUAGAGGAGUGUUCUGGGAUCCCAACUGUGCGAGCUUUAGAUCUGAUGAGAGUAAGUCAUUCCUUGCCCCCAGGUGGAUGGGGUUAAGAUAUUUUCGAGAGGAUACACGUAAUGUUCCUCCUACCUAUCACGUCGUCACGCAGUAUAUGACUGCCCCUC